GAAUCCAAACAUUCUCGUGGACAGGUUAC
RNAcentral lists this non-coding RNA (29 nucleotides) under Rattus norvegicus (Norway rat). Lineage: Eukaryota; Metazoa; Chordata; Mammalia; Rodentia; Muridae. The record is from RNAcentral.